AGAGUUUGAUCAUGGCUCAGGAUGAACGCUGGCGGCGUGCCUAACACAUGCAAGUCGAGCGAUCUACUUCGGUAAAGAGCGGCGGACGGGUGAGUAACGCGUGGGUAACCUGCCCUGUACACACGGAUAACAUACCGAAAGGUAUGCUAAUACGAGAUAAUAUACUUUUAUCGCAUGGUAGAAGUAUCAAAGCUUUUGCGGUACAGGAUGGACCCGCGUCUGAUUAGCUAGUUGGUAAGGUAACGGCUUACCAAGGCGACGAUCAGUAGCCGACCUGAGAGGGUGAUCGGCCACAUUGGAACUGAGACACGGUCCAAACUCCUACGGGAGGCAGCAGUGGGGAAUAUUGCACAAUGGGCGAAAGCCUGAUGCAGCAACGCCGCGUGAGCGAUGAAGGCCUUCGGGUCGUAAAGCUCUGUCCUCAAGGAAGAUAAUGACGGUACUUGAGGAGGAAGCCCCGGCUAACUACGUGCCAGCAGCCGCGGUAAUACGUAGGGGGCUAGCGUUAUCCGGAAUUACUGGGCGUAAAGGGUGCGUAGGUGGUUUCUUAAGUCAGAGGUGAAAGGCUAUGGCUCAACCGUAGUAAGCCUUUGAAACUGGGAAACUUGAGUGCAGGAGAGGAGAGUGGAAUUCCUAGUGUAGCGGUGAAAUGCGUAGAUAUUAGGAGGAACACCAGUUGCGAAGGCGGCUCUCUGGACUGUAACUGACACUGAGGCACGAAAGCGUGGGGAGCAAACAGGAUUAGAUACCCUGGUAGUCCAUGCCGUAAACGAUGAGUACUAGCUGUCAGAGGUUACCCCCUUCGGUGGCGCAGCUAACGCAUUAAGUACUCCGCCUGGGAAGUACGCUCGCAAGAGUGAAACUCAAAGGAAUUGACGG
RNAcentral lists this ribosomal RNA (879 nucleotides) under uncultured bacterium. Its description in RNAcentral is "bacterial SSU rRNA". It matches the Rfam family "Bacterial small subunit ribosomal RNA", at positions 8 to 916 of the family's 1533-position model. The record is from RNAcentral.